ACAAUUUCUUGGCAGGGGAGAGAUAACAUGAACAUGAAGGUUUUCCCAGGGCAAGGUUUACCUAUUGUAUUCCAGCUGUGCUGACCCCUGCAAUUUCCCCAGAAUCUGGGAAACUCAAUUGCAUAAUUUGGAGGUAGAGGAACUGUGUUCAUGCUCUCCCCUA
Small nuclear RNA from Molossus molossus (Pallas's mastiff bat), 163 nucleotides. RefSeq annotates it as U1 spliceosomal RNA. Lineage: Eukaryota; Metazoa; Chordata; Mammalia; Chiroptera; Molossidae. The transcript has a single exon. The record is from RefSeq and is a predicted model, not a curated record.